This 253-nucleotide ribosomal RNA is filed under the name uncultured bacterium. RNAcentral's name for it is "partial 16S ribosomal RNA". It matches the Rfam family "Bacterial small subunit ribosomal RNA", at positions 524 to 776 of the family's 1533-position model. The record is from RNAcentral.
UACGUAGGUGGCAAGCGUUGUUCGGAAUUACUGGGCGUAAAGGGCUCGUAGGCGGCCAACUAAGUCGGACGUGAAAUCCCUCAGCUUAACUGGGGAACUGCGUCCGAUACUGGAUGGCUUGGAUUUGGGAGAGGGAUGCGGAAUUCCAGGUGUAGCGGUGAAAUGCGUAGAUAUCAGGAGGAACACCGGCGGCGAAGGCGGCCCUCUGGAUCGUUGCUGACGCUGAGACGCGAAAGCGUGGGGAGCAAACAGG